GGACAGGUGGUGCAUGGUUGUCGUCAGCUCGUGUCGUGAGAUGUUGGGUUAAGUCCCGCAACGAGCGCAACCCUUGUCUUUAGUUACCAUCAUUCAGUUGGGGACUCUAGAGAGACUGCCGGUGAUAAACCGGAGGAAGGUGGGGAUGACGUCAAAUCAUCAUGCCCCUUAUGACCUGGGCUACACACGUACUACAAUGGCGCAUACAACGAGCUGCGAGAUGGUGACAUCAAGCGAAUCUCUUAAAAUGCGUCUCAGUUCAGAUUGGAGUCUGCAACUCGACUCCAUGAAGUCGGAAUCGCUAGUAAUCGCGGAUCAGCAUGCCGCGGUGAAUACGUUCUCGGGGUUU
Molecule: ribosomal RNA, 349 nt
Filed under: uncultured Erysipelothrix sp.
Lineage: Bacteria; Bacillati; Bacillota; Erysipelotrichia; Erysipelotrichales; Erysipelotrichaceae
Description: bacterial SSU rRNA
Rfam family: Bacterial small subunit ribosomal RNA
Source: RNAcentral